This 253-nucleotide ribosomal RNA is filed under the name uncultured bacterium. RNAcentral's name for it is "partial 16S ribosomal RNA". It matches the Rfam family "Bacterial small subunit ribosomal RNA", at positions 524 to 776 of the family's 1533-position model. The record is from RNAcentral.
UACGUAGGUCCCGAGCGUUGUCCGGAUUUAUUGGGCGUAAAGGGCGUGUAGGCGGGAGCGCAAGUCAGAUGUGAAAACUCAGGGCUCAACCCUGAGCCUGCAUUUGAAACUGUGUUUCUUGAGUGCUGGAGAGGCAAUCGGAAUUCCGUGUGUAGCGGUGAAAUGCGUAGAUAUACGGAGGAACACCAGUGGCGAAGGCGGAUUGCUGGACAGUAACUGACGCUGAGGCGCGAAAGCGUGGGGAGCAAACAGG